Molecule: non-coding RNA, 67 nt
Organism: Sporosarcina newyorkensis 2681
Lineage: Bacteria; Bacillati; Bacillota; Bacilli; Caryophanales; Caryophanaceae
Source: Rfam
AAGAGAAGUACGCAGGCUAAGAUCGCCACAUCCUGUGAUAACGCCUGCAUGAUCAACAUCCUGUUGA